Molecule: ribosomal RNA, 376 nt
Filed under: uncultured bacterium
Lineage: Bacteria
Description: bacterial SSU rRNA
Rfam family: Bacterial small subunit ribosomal RNA
Source: RNAcentral
UAAUACGUAGGGUGCGAGCGUUAAUCGGAAUUACUGGGCGUAAAGCGUGCGCAGGCGGUUCGUUAAGACAGCUGUGAAAGCCCCGGGCUCAACCUGGGAACUGCGGUUGUGACUGGCGAGCUAGAGUAUGGCAGAGGGGGGUGGAAUUCCACGUGUAGCAGUGAAAUGCGUAGAGAUGUGGAGGAACACCGAUGGCGAAGGCAGCCCCCUGGGCCAAUACUGACGCUCAGGCACGAAAGCGUGGGGAGCAAACAGGAUUAGAUACCCUGGUAGUCCACGCCCUAAACGAUGUCAACUGGUUGUUGGGGGAGGCUAUCCCUUAGUAACGAAGCUAACGCGUGAAGUUGACCGCCUGGGGAGUACGGUCGCAAGAUUA